This 1451-nucleotide long non-coding RNA is filed under the name Anser cygnoides (Swan goose). RNAcentral describes it as "lncRNA (ENSACDG00005017405.1)". Lineage: Eukaryota; Metazoa; Chordata; Aves; Anseriformes; Anatidae. The record is from RNAcentral.
CCUCUGCCCAGAGAUGAGUGGCCACCGUCCUGCCUUGAGGAUCUGUGGGGUGCAUGCCUUUAUCCUGUGCAGGCCCAGGUGCAGGGUGUACCUGGUGCCUCCCACCCUUUGCUGUGGGAUGGUCCUCCCUCACUGGGUGCCCUCCCUGCUCCUCCCGAGCCAAUGGCUGCACCAAUGGCAGCACCAGGCCAGGCCCAUUCUGUUUCCCUACAUUGCUGGCCAUGCUCCUGGUCACUGGCACUCGUGGAGGUGGGGGGUGGCCACCAUCAAUGCUGGCCCUUCCCAUGCUUUGUCAGCCACUCUGGCAAGAGCUGCCACCUCCAGGCAGGUCUCUGCAUGCCCCUGGGGCUGCCCAAGCUCAGGAAAUCCUCUUGUAGGCCAUAAUCCCCUGCUGUGCUGUGGAACAUGUCCUCCUGGAGCUGAUCGCCUCAGAGAGUCAAAGAAUUAUUGAGUAGUGCUGGACACAGGUCCAGCACAGGCUGGGAGACAAGUGGCUGGAGAGCAGCUCAGCAGAAAGGGCUCUGGGGGUGCUGGCUGACAGCAGGCUCAACAUCAGCCAGCAGGGUGCCCUGGCAGCCAAGAGGGCAAAACACAUCUUGGGAUGCAUUAAGCACAGCACAGCCAGAUGGUCAAAGAGGUGAGUCUUCUGCUAUAUUCAGCAUUGGUGAGGCCUCCCCUUGAAUCAUGUACACUGUUCUGGGCUCCACAACAGAAGAAAGAUGUGGAGUUGAAAGCAUCCAGAGGAGGACAACAAAGCUGGUCAAAAGGCUGGAAGGCAUGUCCUGUGAGGAGAGCCUGAGGACACCUGGGUUGUCUAGUCUGGAGAAAAAAAGGCAGACAGAAGGCCUCAUUGCUCUUGACAACUUCCUGAGAAGGGGAAGUGGAAAGGGAGGUGCCAGUCUCUUUUCCAUGAAAACUGAUGACAGGAUGCAUGGGAAUGGUACAAAGCUGCAGCAGGGGAGGAUCACACUGGACAUUAGGAAACAUUUCUCUUCUGUGAGGUUGAUCAAACACAGGAACAGGCUUUCCUAGAGACCUGGUUGAUGUCCCAGGCCUGUCAGUGUUGAACAGGCAUUUGGACAAUACUCUCAUACAUAGUUUCUAACUUUUGAUUAGCCCUGAAAAGGUCAGGCAGUUGAACUGGAUGACUUUUGAAGAUCCCUUACAAAUGAACUAUUCUACACCAUUUGAUUGAAUUUGUCAUGAUCCAUUUAGAUUCUAUAAUAUAAAGCUAUACAAGCCCUUACCUGUGUCACUGUAGGGAACUUGUCCACCUCAGAGGCACAACUUGGGAUUUGUCCUUGUUGGAUAUCACAGAGUUUCAAUUGGCCUAUCCCUCCAACCUGCUUCUUAUUGGAAAAGAGAUUGCUGUGGGGGAUUGUAUUGAAAACCUUGCUGGAAUCCUGGUAAAUGAGAUUCACUGCUCUAGUUUCACCCACAGAUGUGGUCAU